CACGUAGGCGGUGAAUCGGGUUGAAAGUGAAAGUCGCCAAAAAAGUGGCGGAAUGCUCUCGAAACCAAUUCACUUGAGUGAGACAGAGGAGAGUGGAAUUUCGUGUGUAGGGGUGAAAUCCGUAGAUCUACGAAGGAACGCCAAAAGCGAAGGCAGCUCUCUGGGUCCCUACCGAUGCUGGGGUGCGAAAGCAUGGGGAGCGAACA
RNAcentral lists this ribosomal RNA (206 nucleotides) under uncultured bacterium. RNAcentral describes it as "partial 16S ribosomal RNA". It matches the Rfam family "Bacterial small subunit ribosomal RNA", at positions 568 to 774 of the family's 1533-position model. The record is from RNAcentral.